GCUGGUUUCCAGGGGUGCCCCGGCAGGGGCUGAGACACCGCAGGCCGGCCGCCAGGGGCGGACAGGCGCGCGGGAACCCUUAGAACCUGAUCCGGGUCGUACCGGCGUAGGGAUGGAACCGGCGGAUGCCC
This 131-nucleotide non-coding RNA is filed under the name Rhodospirillum centenum. RNAcentral's name for it is "TPP sequence". It matches the Rfam family "TPP riboswitch aptamer (THI element)". Rfam says of the family: Vitamin B(1) in its active form thiamin pyrophosphate (TPP) is an essential coenzyme that is synthesised by coupling of pyrimidine and thiazole moieties in bacteria. RNAcentral also lists the same sequence under 1 other name. Lineage: Bacteria; Pseudomonadati; Pseudomonadota; Alphaproteobacteria; Rhodospirillales; Rhodospirillaceae. The record is from RNAcentral.